UACGAAGGGGGCUAGCGUUGUUCGGAAUCACUGGGCGUAAAGGGCGCGUAGGCGGCCGAUCAAGUCGGGGGUGAAAGCCUGUGGCUCAACUCCAGAACUGCCUUUGAUACUGAGGACCUUGAGUUCGGGAGAGGUGAGUGGAACUGCGAGUGUAGAGGUGAAAUUCGUAGAUAUUCGCAAGAACACCAGUGGCGAAGGCGGCUCACUGGCCCGAUACUGACGCUGAGGUGCGAAAGCGUGGGGAGCAAACAGG
This 253-nucleotide ribosomal RNA is filed under the name uncultured bacterium. RNAcentral's name for it is "partial 16S ribosomal RNA". It matches the Rfam family "Bacterial small subunit ribosomal RNA", at positions 524 to 776 of the family's 1533-position model. The record is from RNAcentral.